This 4277-nucleotide small RNA is filed under the name Pan troglodytes (chimpanzee). Its description in RNAcentral is "retained intron". The record is from RNAcentral. Lineage: Eukaryota; Metazoa; Chordata; Mammalia; Primates; Hominidae.
GAGCGUCGAGCUACCAGAACCGAGCUGGUGAGGGGCUGCAGGUGGCGGCGCAGUCUCGGUAGGCGGUAUGAGUUUGGCUGGGGGCCGGGCACCCCGGAAGACCGCUGGGAACCGGCUUUCUGGGCUUUUGGAGGCAGAGGAGGAAGAUGAGUUCUACCAGACGACUUAUGGGGGUUUCACAGAGGAAUCCGGAGAUGAUGAGUAUCAAGGGGACCAGUCAGACACAGAGGACGAAGUGGACUCUGACUUUGACAUUGAUGAAGGGGAUGAACCAUCCAGUGAUGGAGAAGCAGAAGAGCCAAGAAGGAAGCGCCGAGUAGUCACCAAGGCCUAUAAGGAACCUCUCAAGAGCUUAAGGCCUCGAAAGGUCAACACCCCGGCUGGUAGCUCUCAGAAGGCCCGAGAAGAGAAGGCACUACUGCCAUUAGAACUACAAGAUGACGGCUCUGACAGUCGGAAGUCUAUGCGUCAGUCUACAGCUGAGCAUACACGACAAACGUUCCUUCGGGUACAGGAGAGGCAGGGCCAGUCAAGACGGCGAAAGGGGCCCCACUGUGAGCGGCCACUAACCCAGGAGGAACUGCUCCGGGAGGCCAAGAUCACAGAAGAGCUUAAUUUACGUUCACUGGAGACAUAUGAGCGGCUCGAGGCUGAUAAAAAGAAGCAGGUUCAUAAGAAGCGGAAGUGCCCUGGGCCCAUAAUCACCUAUCAUUCAGUGACAGUGCCACUUGUUGGGGAGCCAGGCCCCAAGGAAGAGAACGUUGACAUAGAAGGACUUGAUCCUGCUCCCUCAGCGUCUGCAUUGACUCCUCAUGCUGGGACUGGACCCGUCAACCCCCCUGCUCGCUGCUCACGUACCUUCAUCACUUUUAGUGAUGAUGCAACUUUCGAGGAAUGGUUCCCCCAAGGGCGGCCCCCAAAAGUCCCUGUUCGUGAGGUUUGUCCAGUGACCCAUCGUCCAGCCCUAUACCGGGACCCUGUUACAGACAUACCCUAUGCCACUGCUCGAGCCUUCAAGAUCAUUCGUGAGGCUUACAAGAAGUACAUUACUGCCCAUGGACUGCCGCCCACUGCCUCAGCCCUGGGCCCUGGCCCGCCACCUCCUGAGCCCCUCCCUGGCUCUGGGCCCCGAGCCUUGCGCCAGAAAAUUGUCAUUAAAUGAAGAGAUGUCUAGUCCUCAGAAACUUCUUUCCUGCCCUGAUUGGGGCUCUUGCUGUUCCGUUUCUUCUCCCUGCUUCUCCCCUUUGUCACCUCUGAUCUUUGCCUAAUCUGUUUCUUUUUCCUUUUCCCCUAGUUCUUACAGGUUUCGUUGUGUUUUUUAAUCUAAUAAAAUAGAAAGAUCCCUUUUGUCUGGUGUCCAGUCUAGGGUUGGGAGCAAGAAGUAUUUGAAUACCUGCAUAUAUUUGGGUCUUUAUUCGAUAGCAUUUAUUAUGAGCUGUCCUUUCUAAAUUGUAUUCAUUCCUCCAACUAAAUUAUAAACAUCUGAAAAUUGCACACCAAAACACAUCCUUGUAUUGACCUUCCUAUCACUUUACACUCACUGUUUUGAAUACAGCAGGCACCAAAUAAGGAGGAACUGGCUGAUUCUAGUCGAACUCCGAUGUCUCAGACUGGGGCUUGUAUGAAGGGAAGUGGAAGAGAUGCCAUGGCUGUUAAUGACCACUAGAGGCUCUCAGGGCUGGGCAGGGUAUGGGGGCUGUGUAUAUGUGAUCUCCCACUACCCCCCACCUGGCCAGAGCUAAAAUAAUAAAAUGCUGAGCUCACUGUUCCCCCACCCUCUCCCCCGGCACCGGGCUCCUCCUGCUGCUGAGACAGUGCUCUAGUAGAACAGACAGACCUACUGACACAGGGGAGGUGAGAAGGGAGGUGACCACCAGGACUGGUAGGUGGGGAAGACAGGGGGCUUAUGGAUGAGAGCCCGGUGGGAGAUGGGAGGAGAAGAGUGGCUCCUAUGGGGAAUGAUGUGGAGUGUGUCCCUGUCUCUGUCACUCAGUGUAUAUUUCUGCCACUGUGCCGUCCUACCCCUUAACUGUGUAUAGUUUACAUUGUCAAUGUGAGUGUCUCACAUACUUUCUGGAUCUUUCAUAUUCAGCAUGGUGUGUAUGCAUAGCUCCUUGUGCGUAUCUUAUAUUGUACAAAAUUGUGCGAGUUUAAUAUUCCCACUGUUUUUAAAGAAACUUUACCCUAUUUACACCCAUUGGUCUGGUGUCACCUUCCUGUCCAAAGCAAGGGACAGAUUAUGGGGACUCAGUCCCUUCUCCAGAGGCCUUACUACCCUUCCCCCAACCUGGAAGUCCCCCAACUGCUCCGAGCCCUUGCUUUCCCUUAAGACUUCAAAUUUUAGCAAACACAGAAAGUGAAAUCUUGAUCCCCCACAAUAAAAGGGAAAUGAGGAUGGGGUAAGAGACUCUUCCCCUUACACCCCAUUGUCCUUGGUUUUUUUAUCCGGUUUAGGAAAAAGCCUGGAUUAUGAGGAGGAGAGGAGGAAUUUCCCUGAAGCUCUCUAUUCCCCCACCCCUCAUCCCCUUUCAAUAGGAACUGGGCAUAGGACCAGCUGUGUUGGCAGGGCUUCCAGCAGCUAUGUUAGGGCGAAGGCACUGACAAGUGAGGUUAUAGGGGAGGGGUGCUGCCAGGAUUUCUCUGUCAUACCGUGGGAAGACAAACCCAGCUUAGAUGUCUGGGAUCCCCAUCCAGAGUGGCUGGAAGCUGGGGAAGCAGAAAGGAGACUCUAGUUCUAACUCUAAACAACCUAAUCUUCCCCACUUCCCAUCUUCAACUAGAUUUCUAAUCUCCAAGAAAUCCAAUCCAAUGUUCUGCCCCCCUGGCUGGUCUCUUUGUGUCCCUGCUGUGUCCCUGUCCAUCUUACCAUUGUCCAUCCUUUUGUCCCAUGUUGCCCAGGCUCUGUGAGUACCACACAGUGGGGAGGGGGUGGGGGCCACCAUGUCAUCAUAUCAGAAGGAACUGGAGAAAUACAGAGACAUAGAUGAAGAUGAGAUCCUAAGGACCUUGAGCCCCGAGGAGCUAGAGCAGCUGGACUGCGAACUACAGGAGAUGGAUCCUGAGGUAGGGGCUCCAGCACAGGGAACCAGAGGCAGUCCCAGGCAUUUGGGAAGGGUGUUGGGCUCUGGGUGGCUGAGAAUAGGGUUUGCUACAGGACCUAGAGUCCUAAGAAGGCCAGGGGAAAGGUGUCUGGUGAUGUUUUAGGGAGCCCUAGCAGUACCUAGGUCAGAGGGGAGGUCUGACUUGCUCCCCAAAACUCAUCCCUAAGAACAUGCUCCUGCCAGCUGGACUAAGACAACGUGACCAGACAAAGAAGAGCCCAACGGGGCCACUGGACCGAGAGGCCCUUUUGCAGUACUUGGAGCAACAGGCACUAGAAGUCAAAGAGCGUGAUGACUUGGUGCCCUUCACAGGCGAGAAGAAGGGGAAACCCUAUAUUCAGCCCAAGAGGGAAAUCCCAGCAGAGGAGCAGAUCACCCUGGAGCCUGAGCUGGAGGAGGCACUGGCACAUGCCACAGAUGCUGAAAUGUGUGACAUUGCAGCAAUUCUGGACAUGUACACACUGAUGAGUAACAAGCAAUACUAUGAUGCCCUCUGCAGUGGAGAAAUCUGCAACACUGAAGGCAUUAGCAGUGUGGUACAGCCUGACAAGUAUAAGCCAGUGCCGGAUGAACCCCCAAAUCCCACAAACAUUGAGGAGAUACUAAAGAGGGUCCGAAGCAAUGACAAGGAGCUGGAGGAGGUGAACUUGAAUAAUAUACAGGACAUCCCAAUACCCAUGCUAAGUGAGCUGUGUGAGGCAAUGAAGGCAAAUACCUAUGUGCGGAGCUUCAGUCUGGUAGCCACGAGGAGUGGUGACCCCAUUGCCAAUGCAGUGGCUGACAUGUUGCGUGAGAAUCGUAGCCUCCAGAGCCUAAACAUCGAAUCCAACUUCAUUAGCAGCACAGGACUCAUGGCUGUGCUGAAGGCAGUUCGGGAAAAUGCCACACUCACUGAGCUCCGUGUAGACAAUCAGCGCCAGUGGCCUGGUGAUGCAGUGGAGAUGGAGAUGGCCACCGUGCUAGAGCAGUGUCCCUCUAUUGUCCGCUUUGGCUACCACUUUACGCAGCAGGGGCCACGAGCUCGGGCAGCCCAGGCCAUGACCCGAAACAAUGAACUACGUCGCCAGCAAAAGAAGAGAUAACACUGCAUUUCCCUUUACCAACUAGAGCUGGGAGCACUGGACACUUAAAUCCUCAUCUGUCCUCCUUUCCUGUAAAUAAAAGCCCUUCUAUCCA